AACGAACGCUGGCGGCAUGCCUAACACAUGCAAGUCGAACGAUCCCUUCGGGGCUAGUGGCGCACGGGUGCGUAACGCGUGGGAACCUGCCCUUAGGUUCGGAAUAACUCAGAGAAAUUUGAGCUAAUACCGGAUAAUGUCUUCGGACCAAAGAUUUUUCGCCUUUGGAUGGGCCCGCGUUGGAUUAGCUGGUUGGUGGGGUAAAGGCCUACCAAGGCGACGAUCCAUAGCUGGUCUGAGAGGAUGAUCAGCCACACUGGGACUGAGACACGGCCCAGACUCCUACGGGAGGGAGCAGUGGGGAAUAUUGGACAAGGGGCGAAAGCCUGAUCCAGCAAUGCCGCGGAAGUGAUGAAGGCCUUAGGGUUGUAAAGCUCUUUUACCCGGGAUGAUAAUGACAGUACCGGGAGAAUAAGCCCCGGCUAACUCCGUG
RNAcentral lists this ribosomal RNA (433 nucleotides) under uncultured bacterium. RNAcentral's name for it is "partial 16S ribosomal RNA". It matches the Rfam family "Bacterial small subunit ribosomal RNA", at positions 29 to 507 of the family's 1533-position model. The record is from RNAcentral.